AUGCAGCGGUACGACCUGGAGGACCAGCUCACGGUCAUCUAUACGGACGAGGAGGCUUACUGGCGACUCAGGGGGACCCAAAAGUGGGUUCUCAAGGGGGAUGCUAACACCGCAUACUUCCAGGCCAUCGCCAAUGGUCGUCAUCGUCGCAAUACCAUCCCACUUCUGUGGGAUGGCGAGACCCUCCUGCAGCGCCCGGCCGAGCUUCGCGCUCAUGUAGACGGCUUUUAUAAUGCCCUUUUUACGGCUCCCCCGCGUGGGGGCUUGCCUCUUGCUCCCACCUUCUGGGUGGGCACCCAAUGUGUGUCGGACGCGGAGAAUGCAGCCCUCACGGCUCCAUUCUCGGAGGAGGAAGUUUGGCUUGCGAUUAUGGGCAUGAACCCGUCGUCCGCCCCGGGGCCUGAUGGCUUGCCAGUUAAGUUCUUUCAGACCUUCUGGCACGCUAUCAAACCGGAGGUCAUGGCUCUCUUUGAGGAGUUCUAUGUGGGCACCAUUGACCUCCACCGCCUUAAUUACAGGAUCAUUACCUUGAUCCCCAAGGUCCCGGACGCCUCCGACAUUCGCCAGUUCCGCCCCAUUACGGUGAUCAAUGUGAUCUUCCGCAUCCUUGCAAAGGGUACGACAAUAGGGUGGCCCCUUUGGCUGACCGCAUCACCCAUCCGGACCAAUCCGCCUUCAUACAGGGUCGCUAUAUCCUUGAUGGAGUCUUGGUCUUCCACGAAGUCCUUCACGAGGUCAAAUCCAAAAACCUCAAAGCAGUGUUCCUGA
This 768-nucleotide ribosomal RNA is filed under the name Triticum aestivum (bread wheat). Its description in RNAcentral is "partial small subunit ribosomal RNA". Lineage: Eukaryota; Viridiplantae; Streptophyta; Magnoliopsida; Poales; Poaceae. The record is from RNAcentral.